AGCGGCGGACGGGUGAGUAAUGCAUAGGAAUCUGCCCGGUAGUGGGGGAUAACCUGGGGAAACCCAGGCUAAUACCGCAUACGUCCUACGGGAGAAAGGGGGCUUCGGCUCCCGCUAUUGGAUGAGCCUAUGUCGGAUUAGCUAGUUGGUGAGGUAAAGGCUCACCAAGGCAACGAUCCGUAGCUGGUCUGAGAGGAUGAUCAGCCACAUCGGGACUGAGACACGGCCCGAACUCCUACGGGAGGCAGCAGUGGGGAAUAUUGGACAAUGGGCGCAAGCCUGAUCCAGCCAUGCCGCGUGUGUGAAGAAGGCCCUCGGGUUGUAAAGCACUUUCAGCGAGGAAGAACGCCUAGUGGUUAAUACCCAUUAGGAAAGACAUCACUCGCAGAAGAAGCACCGGCUAACUCCGUGCCAGCAGCCGCGGUAAUACGGAGGGUGCAAGCGUUAAUCGGAAUUACUGGGCGUAAAGCGCGCGUAGGUGGCUUGAUAAGCCGGUUGUGAAAGCCCCGGGCUCAACCUGGGAACGGCAUCCGGAACUGUCAAGCUAGAGUGCAGGAGAGGAAGGUAGAAUUCCCGGUGUAGCGGUGAAAUGCGUAGAGAUCGGGAGGAAUACCAGUGGCGAAGGCGGCCUUCUGGACUGACACUGACACUGAGGUGCGAAAGCGUGGGUAGCAAACAGGAUUAGAUACCCUGGUAGUCCACGCCGUAAACGAUGUCGACCAGCCGUUGGGUGCCUAGCGCACUUUGUGGCGAAGUUAACGCGAUAAGUCGACCGCCUGGGGAGUACGGCCGCAAGGUUAAAACUCAAAUGAAUUGACGGGGGCCCGCACAAGCGGUGGAGCAUGUGGUUUAAUUCGAUGCAACGCGAAGAACCUUACCUACUCUUGACAU
RNAcentral lists this ribosomal RNA (891 nucleotides) under Halomonas sp. H8(2011). RNAcentral's name for it is "bacterial SSU rRNA". It matches the Rfam family "Bacterial small subunit ribosomal RNA", at positions 94 to 987 of the family's 1533-position model. The record is from RNAcentral. Lineage: Bacteria; Pseudomonadati; Pseudomonadota; Gammaproteobacteria; Oceanospirillales; Halomonadaceae.